CUGCUGUUAUACAGAAAGAAAAGAUAUAGGAGUGGAAAGCCUAUAUUAUGACGGUACUGUAUCAGAAAGUGACGGCAAACUAUGUGCCAGCAGCCGCGGUAAUACAUAGGUCACAAGCGUUAUCCGAAAUUAUUGGGCGUAAAGCGUCCGUAGGUUGUUUGUUAAGUCUGGAGUUAAAGACCGGUGCUCAACGCCGGCACGCUUUAGAUACUGGCAAACUAGAGUUAUAAAGAGGUAAGUGGAAUUUCAUGUGAAGCGGUGGAAUGCGUAGAUAUAUGAAAGAACACCAAUGGCGAAGGCAGCUUACUGGUUAUAUACUGACACUGAGGGACGAAAGCGUGGGGAGCAAACAGGAUUAGAUACCCUGGUAGUCCACGCCGUAAACGAUGAUCAUUAGUUGGUGGGGGAACCCUCGCUAACGCAGCUAACGCAUUAAAUGAUCCGCCUGAGUAGUAUGCUCGCAAGAGUGAAACUUAAAGGAAUUGACGGGGACCCGCACAAGCGGUGGAGCAUGUGGUUUAAUUUGACGAUACGCGUAGAACCUUACCCACUCUUGACAUCCCUUGCAAAGCUAUAGAGAUAUAGUGGAGGUUAACAAGGUGACAGAUGGUGCAUGGUUGUCGUCAGCUCGUGUCGUGAGAUGUUCGGUUAAGUCCUGCAACGAGCGCAACCCCUAUCCUUAUUUACUAACAUUAAGUUGAGAACUAUACGGAUACUGCUCAGGUAACUGGGAGGAAGGUGGGGAUGACGUCAAAUCAUCAUGCCUCUUACGAGUGGGGCAACACACGUGCUACAAUGGCCGGUACAAAGAGACGCAAUAUGGUGACAUGGAACAAAUCUGAAAAACCGGUCUCAGUUCGGAUUGAAGGCUGCAAUUCGCCUUCAUGAAGUCGGAAUCGCUAGUAAUCGUAGAUCAGCUACGCUACGGUGAAUACGUUCUCGGGUCUUGUACACACCGCCCGUCACACCAUGGGAGCCGGUAAUGCCCAAAGUC
RNAcentral lists this ribosomal RNA (994 nucleotides) under Mycoplasma sp. Tm30. RNAcentral describes it as "bacterial SSU rRNA". It matches the Rfam family "Bacterial small subunit ribosomal RNA", at positions 430 to 1428 of the family's 1533-position model. Lineage: Bacteria; Bacillati; Mycoplasmatota; Mollicutes; Mycoplasmatales; Mycoplasmataceae. The record is from RNAcentral.